CGCUGGCGGCGUGCCUAAUACAUGCAAGUCGAGCGAACGGACGAGAAGCUUGCUUCUCUGAUGUUAGCGGCGGACGGGUGAGUAACACGUGGAUAACCUACCUAUAAGACUGGGAUAACUUCGGGAAACCGGAGCUAAUACCGGAUAAUAUUUUGAACCGCAUGGUUCAAAAGUGAAAGACGGUCUUGCUGUCACUUAUAGAUGGAUCCGCGCUGCAUUAGCUAGUUGGUAAGGUAACGGCUUACCAAGGCAACGAUGCAUAGCCGACCUGAGAGGGUGAUCGGCCACACUGGAACUGAGACACGGUCCAGACUCCUACGGGAGGCAGCAGUAGGGAAUCUUCCGCAAUGGGCGAAAGCCUGACGGAGCAACGCCGCGUGAGUGAUGAAGGUCUUCGGAUCGUAAAACUCUGUUAUUAGGGAAGAACAUAUGUGUAAGUAACUGUGCACAUCUUGACGGUACCUAAUCAGAAAGCCACGGCUAACUACGUGCCAGCAGCCGCGGUAAUACGUAGGUGGCAAGCGUUAUCCGGAAUUAUUGGGCGUAAAGCGCGCGUAGGCGGUUUUUUAAGUCUGAUGUGAAAGCCCACGGCUCAACCGUGGAGGGUCAUUGGAAACUGGAAAACUUGAGUGCAGAAGAGGAAAGUGGAAUUCCAUGUGUAGCGGUGAAAUGCGCAGAGAUAUGGAGGAACACCAGUGGCGAAGGCGACUUUCUGGUCUGUAACUGACGCUGAUGUGCGAAAGCGUGGGGAUCAAACA
RNAcentral lists this ribosomal RNA (758 nucleotides) under uncultured bacterium. Its description in RNAcentral is "bacterial SSU rRNA". It matches the Rfam family "Bacterial small subunit ribosomal RNA", at positions 34 to 774 of the family's 1533-position model. The record is from RNAcentral.